AUAGGAGGCAGCCUACUCUGUUUGGCUAUUCGACAGCUCUAUUGGUAAGGGUAAUUUAUAUGCAGAAAUGAUCGUAAUUAAUAAAUUAAAAUUUUUUCAUAAGUUUAUUGUAGAAAAUACUAAUGUGCAGGUGUGGUUUUUCGAGCAUACCACAGUGAGAGUCUCAGCUAAUCCAAAUAAACUAUCUAGACUGUUAAAGUGGCAUGACAGCCACUCGAAGCCCUGAAACAUUUGGGUUGACAACAUGCAGCCCUAUGAAUUAGCAAGAUGAUUCAUGAUGUCAUAAAUCUUUUGUAUUCCAUAAUUUAUCAUUAUAAUUAUUAAUUUAAUUUAUUUUUCUUCUUUAUUUGCAGGUGGAGGGUGCUAUUCUCCCUACAUCACAGAAGCAGUGGCUUAUUAGUCCAAAAGAAGCAUCCCCGAACCUAAAAAUAUGAUAUGCAACCUAUGCGUAGAUGAGGACUGAACUUGAGGAGAUUAAGAAAAGGCUUGUCAUAGCUGAGAACCUUCUAAAUUCAUUGCUCAAAUAGGGGCAUAUUGCAAAUAAAGAAAAGGACGAAGAGGAGGAGCGGGAUGAUAAAGAGGAGGAGGUGGAAGUCAUAUGGGAAGAAAAACCGAUGAUGGAGAAAAAGAGGAAGGACACCCCUGAGGAGGAUGAUAUGGGGGACAAACAACUAUCUUUGAUUCCUUCAAUCAUUAAGAGGGUGAAAAGACAACUUCGACAGCGGAAGGCUUCAUAUCUAAAGUUGGAUUUUAGAUUUGAGACCAUUUCACCCAUGAAAAAGUCCAAGGCAGUCCUCCCAUCACCGACCAAAUAAAAUAAUAAUCAUUUACAAUUUGAAGAAGAUA
RNAcentral lists this long non-coding RNA (846 nucleotides) under Elaeis guineensis (African oil palm). RNAcentral describes it as "long non-coding RNA (EGUI_LNC078709)". Lineage: Eukaryota; Viridiplantae; Streptophyta; Magnoliopsida; Arecales; Arecaceae. The record is from RNAcentral.